AUUGAACGCUGGCGGCAUGCCUUACACAUGCAAGUCGAACGGCAGCACGGGAGCAAUCCUGGUGGCGAGUGGCGAACGGGUGAGUAAAGUAUCGGAACGUGCCCAGUCGUGGGGGAUAACGUAGCGAAAGUUACGCUAAUACCGCAUACGAGCUAUGGAUGAAAGCGGGGGAUCGCAAGACCUCGCGCGAUUGGAGCGGCGGAUAUCAGAUUAGGUAGUUGGUGGGGUAAAGGCCCACCAAGCCGACGAUCUGUAGCUGGUCUGAGAGGACGACCAGCCACACUGGGACCGAGACACGGCCCAGACUCCUACGGGAGGCAGCAGUGGGGAAUUUUGGACAAUGGGCGAAAGCCUGAUCCAGCCAUGCCGCGUGCAGGAUGAAGGCCUUCGGGUUGUAAACUGCUUUUGUACGGAACGAAAAGGACUGCCCUAAUACGGUGGUCCCAUGACGGUACCGUAAGAAUAAGCACCGGCUAACUACGUGCCAGCCGCCGCCGUAA
RNAcentral lists this ribosomal RNA (500 nucleotides) under uncultured bacterium. Its description in RNAcentral is "partial 16S ribosomal RNA". It matches the Rfam family "Bacterial small subunit ribosomal RNA", at positions 29 to 523 of the family's 1533-position model. The record is from RNAcentral.